This is a long non-coding RNA of Alosa sapidissima (American shad), 125 nucleotides long. RefSeq lists it as uncharacterized. The record is from RefSeq and is a predicted model, not a curated record. The transcript is spliced from 3 exons. NCBI's taxonomy places the organism in Eukaryota, Metazoa, Chordata, Actinopteri, Clupeiformes, Clupeidae.
CCUUCUCCAGGGACCGCCUGGACGCGCUGGCUUCCCGGGAGACAAAGGAUUCAUGGGGAUUCCGGGAAGAAUGGGGGCGCCAGGGGAGCCUGGUCUAUCUAUCAUUGGCCCACGAGGACCUCCUG